CCUACGGGAGGCUGCAGUGGGGAAUAUUGGACAAUGGGGGCAACCCUGAUCCAGCCAUGCCGCGUGUGUGAAGAAGGCCCUCGGGUUGUAAAGCACUUUCAGUGAGGAAGAACGCCUGGUGGUUAAUACCCAUCAGGAAAGACAUCACUCACAGAAGAAGCACCGGCUAACUCCGUGCCAGCAGCCGCGGUAAUACGGAGGGUGCGAGCGUUAAUCGGAAUUACUGGGCGUAAAGCGCGCGUAGGUGGCUUGAUAAGCCGGUUGUGAAAGCCCCGGGCUCAACCUGGGAACGGCAUCCGGAACUGUCAAGCUAGAGUGCAGGAGAGGAAGGUAGAAUUCCCGGUGUAGCGGUGAAAUGCGUAGAGAUCGGGAGGAAUACCAGUGGCGAAGGCGGCCUUCUGGACCGACACUGACACUGAGGUGCGAAAGCGUGGGUAGCAAACAGGAUUAGAUACCCUGGUAGUC
This 465-nucleotide ribosomal RNA is filed under the name Vreelandella stevensii. Its description in RNAcentral is "partial 16S ribosomal RNA". It matches the Rfam family "Bacterial small subunit ribosomal RNA", at positions 338 to 795 of the family's 1533-position model. Lineage: Bacteria; Pseudomonadati; Pseudomonadota; Gammaproteobacteria; Oceanospirillales; Halomonadaceae. The record is from RNAcentral.